GAUGAACGCUGGCGGCGUGCCUAAUACAUGCAAGUCGAGCGAACGGACGAGAAGCUUGCUUCUCUGAUGUUAGCGGCGGACGGGUGAGUAACACGUGGAUAACCUACCUAUAAGACUGGGAUAACUUCGGGAAACCGGAGCUAAUACCGGAUAAUAUUUUGAACCGCAUGGUUCAAAAGUGAAAGACGGUCUUGCUGUCACUUAUAGAUGGAUCCGCGCUGCAUUAGCUAGUUGGUAAGGUAACGGCUUACCAAGGCAACGAUGCAUAGCCGACCUGAGAGGGUGAUCGGCCACACUGGAACUGAGACACGGUCCAGACUCCUACGGGAGGCAGCAGUAGGGAAUCUUCCGCAAUGGGCGAAAGCCUGACGGAGCAACGCAGCGUGAGUGAUGAAGGUAUUCGGAUCGUAAAACUCUGUUAUUAGGGAAGAACAUAUGUGUAAGUAACUGUGCACAUAUUGACGGUACCUAAUAAGAAAGCCACGGCUAACUACGUG
Molecule: ribosomal RNA, 497 nt
Filed under: uncultured bacterium
Lineage: Bacteria
Description: partial 16S ribosomal RNA
Rfam family: Bacterial small subunit ribosomal RNA
Source: RNAcentral